GGGCCCGCACAAGCGGUGGAGUAUGUGGUUUAAUUCGAUGCAACGCGAAGAACCUUACCAAGGCUUGACAUCCCAUGACAGCCCAUGAAAGUGGGUUUUCCCUUAGGGGACAUGGAGACAGGUGGUGCAUGGUUGUCGUCAGCUCGUGUCGUGAGAUGUUGGGUUAAGUCCCGCAACGAGCGCAACCCUUGUCCUUAGUUACCAGCAUUAAGUUGGGGACUCUAAGGAGACUGCCAGUGACAAACUGGAGGAAGGUGGGGAUGACGUCAAAUCAUCAUGCCCUUUAUGUCUUGGGCUACACACGUACUACAAUGGGCUGUACAGAGGGCGGCAAGACUGUGAGGUCAAGCGAAUCCCUUAAAGCAGUCCUCAGUUCGGAUUGUAGGCUGCAACUCGCCUACAUGAAGCUGGAAUCGCUAGUAAUCGCAGGUCAGCAUACUGCGGUGAAUACGUUCCCGGGCCUU
RNAcentral lists this ribosomal RNA (464 nucleotides) under uncultured bacterium. RNAcentral describes it as "bacterial SSU rRNA". It matches the Rfam family "Bacterial small subunit ribosomal RNA", at positions 917 to 1382 of the family's 1533-position model. The record is from RNAcentral.